Molecule: ribosomal RNA, 253 nt
Filed under: uncultured bacterium
Lineage: Bacteria
Description: partial 16S ribosomal RNA
Rfam family: Bacterial small subunit ribosomal RNA
Source: RNAcentral
UACGGAGGGUGCAAGCGUUAUCCGGAUUCACUGGGCUUAAAGGGUGCGUAGGCGGGUCGGUAAGUCAGUGGUGAAAUCUCCGAGCUUAACUUGGAAACUGCCAUUGAUACUAUCAGUCUUGAAUAUUGUGGAGGUCAGCGGAAUAUGUCAUGUAGCGGUGAAAUGCUUAGAUAUGACAUAGAACACCAAUUGCGAAGGCAGCUGGCUACACAUAUAUUGACACUGAGGCACGAAAGCGUGGGGAUCAAACAGG